UACGUAGGGGGCAAGCGUUGUCCGGAUUUAUUGGGCGUAAAGAGCGUGUAGGCGGCCUGGAAGGUCAGCUGUGAAAACUCGAGGCUCAACCUCGAGACGUCGGUUGAAACCACCUGGCUAGAGUCCGGAAGAGGAGAGUGGAAUUCCUGGUGUAGCGGUGAAAUGCGCAGAUAUCAGGAGGAACACCAAUUGCGAAGGCAGCUCGCUGGGACGUUACUGACGCUGAGACGCGAAAGCGUGGGGAGCAAACAGG
RNAcentral lists this ribosomal RNA (253 nucleotides) under uncultured bacterium. Its description in RNAcentral is "partial 16S ribosomal RNA". It matches the Rfam family "Bacterial small subunit ribosomal RNA", at positions 524 to 776 of the family's 1533-position model. The record is from RNAcentral.